CGCGGUCCUCGGUAGUGAUUCCCGGGAAACCAUCUGUGACGAUGAUGCCCGUGGAUCUCGAUCGAUGACCGGG
Molecule: non-coding RNA, 73 nt
Organism: Paenarthrobacter aurescens TC1
Lineage: Bacteria; Bacillati; Actinomycetota; Actinomycetes; Micrococcales; Micrococcaceae
Source: Rfam